Molecule: unclassified non-coding RNA, 248 nt
Filed under: uncultured Acidimicrobiia bacterium
Lineage: Bacteria; Bacillati; Actinomycetota; Acidimicrobiia
Description: contains 16S-23S intergenic spacer region
Source: RNAcentral
UCCGGCUUGACGCCGGCAGUCCCCCGAGAGUCCUCAGCUUUACCGUACAUGUCAAGCCCAGGUAAGGUUCUUCGCGUUGCAUCGAAUUGAGCCACACGCUCCGCCGCUUGUGCGGGCCCCCGUCAAUUCCUUUGAGUUUUAGCCUUGCGGCCGUACUCCCCAGGCGGGGCACUUAAUGCGUUAGCUACGGCACGGAACCCGUCGAUAGAGUCCCACACCUAGUGCCCAACGUUUACGGCGUGGACUAC